Molecule: long non-coding RNA, 390 nt
Organism: Pecten maximus
Lineage: Eukaryota; Metazoa; Mollusca; Bivalvia; Pectinida; Pectinidae
Exons: 2
Source: RefSeq, a predicted model, not a curated record
UCCGAUGUUUGACCCUUCCAAAUUACAUGUAAACUGAAUCGCUAUCGUGACCCAGAUAGUUUAGCUUGUACACGAGGAUGUCGCAAAAUUAUGAAGAUUUUUUAUGCGACUAAGUCUUUAGCGCCCAUCGUCAACCACUGAAAAGUAAAAAGGUGACUCAAGAUGUUAUGGAAUUCAUCGAAUUCAAAAAGAAAUGUGAGCCAAGUAUUUAAGAUGCUCUGGAUUUCCCUGCUUCGUUCAUGCCUGGAUUUUUCCGACAGUGUGGAUAUGUAUAAUCACGGAAGGUAUCAUAUAAGUUGUUCAUAACAACAUGGCAUAUAUAUGUGUGUAACAACCCAUGUGUUCAACGAGUACCAGAUCUUUAUUAAAUGCUUAAAACUUAACGUAAAA